AAUCCAUAGGUUAAUGAGGCGAACCGGGGGAACUGAAACAUCUAAGUACCCCGAGGAAAAGAAAUCAACCGAGAUUCCCCCAGUAGCGGCGAGCGAACGGGGAGGAGCCCAGAGCCUGAAUCAGCAUGUGUGUUAGUGGAAGCGUCUGGAAAGGCGCGCGAUACAGGGUGACAGCCCCGUACACAAAAGCGCAUGUGCUGUGAGCUCGAUGAGUAGGGCGGGACACGUGGUAUCCUGUCUGAAUAUGGGGGGACCAUCCUCCAAGGCUAAAUACUCCUGACUGACCGAUAGUGAACCAGUACCGUGAGGGAAAGGCGAAAAGAACCCCGGCGAGGGGAGUGAAAAAGAACCUGAAACCGUGUACGUACAAGCAGUGGGAGCACAGGUUUACCUGUGUGACUGCGUACCUUUUGUAUAAUGGGUCAGCGACUUAUAUUCUGUAGCAAGGUUAACCGUAUAGGGGAGCCGUAGGGAAACCGAGUCUUAACCGGGCGUUAAGUUGCAGG
This 506-nucleotide ribosomal RNA is filed under the name Salmonella enterica subsp. enterica. RNAcentral describes it as "partial 23S ribosomal RNA". It matches the Rfam family "Bacterial large subunit ribosomal RNA", at positions 161 to 706 of the family's 2925-position model. The record is from RNAcentral. Lineage: Bacteria; Pseudomonadati; Pseudomonadota; Gammaproteobacteria; Enterobacterales; Enterobacteriaceae.